AACGAACGUUGGCGGCGUGGAUUAGGCAUGCAAGUCGUACGCGAAAGAGGGGGCAACUCCUCGAGUAAAGUGGCGAACGGGUGAGUAACGCGUAGGAAACCUGCCUUCGAGAUGGGGAUAACACUCCUAACGGGGUGCUAAUACCGAAUGACACUGCGGGAUCGCAUGGUUCUGCAGUCAAAGGUGGCCUCUGCUUGCAAGCUACCGCUCAAAGAUGGUCCUGCGUCCCAUAGCUAGUUGGCGGGGUAACGGCCCACCAAGGCGACGAUGGGUAGCCGAUCUGAGAGGAUGACCGGCCACACUGGGACU
This 309-nucleotide ribosomal RNA is filed under the name uncultured bacterium. Its description in RNAcentral is "bacterial SSU rRNA". It matches the Rfam family "Bacterial small subunit ribosomal RNA", at positions 29 to 320 of the family's 1533-position model. The record is from RNAcentral.